RNAcentral lists this ribosomal RNA (468 nucleotides) under uncultured bacterium. RNAcentral's name for it is "partial 16S ribosomal RNA". It matches the Rfam family "Bacterial small subunit ribosomal RNA", at positions 28 to 507 of the family's 1533-position model. The record is from RNAcentral.
GACGAACGCUGGCGGCGUGCUUAACACAUGCAAGUCGAACGGAAAGGCCCUGCUUUUGUGGGGUGCUCGAGUGGCGAACGGGUUAGUAACACGUGAGUAACCUGCCCUUGACUUUGGGAUAACUUCAGGAAACUGGGGCUAAUACCGGAUAGGAGCUCCUGCUGCAUGGUGGGGGUUGGAAAGUUUCGGCGGUUGGGGAUGGACUCGCGGCUUAUCAGCUUGUUGGUGGGGUAGCGGCUUACCAAGGCUUUGACGGGUAGCCGGCCUGAGAGGGUGACCGGCCACAUGGGGCCUGAGAGACGGCGCAGACUCCUACGGGAGGCAGCAGUGGGGAAUAUUGCACAAUGGGCGGAAGCCUGAGGCAGAAACGCCGCGUGCGGGAUGACGGCCUUCGGGUUGUAAACCGCUUUCGCCUGUGACGAAGCGUGAGUGACGGUAAUGGGUAAAGAAGCACCGGCUAACUACGUG